CCAACAGGGAUUGCCUUAGUAACGGCGAGUGAAGCGGCAAAAGCUCAAAUUUGAAAUCUAACGCCUCUGGUGUUCGAGUUGUAAUUUGGAGAGGCAUCUUCCGGAGUGGCCCAGCCUAUGUACCUUGGAACAGGACGUCAUAGAGGGUGAGAAUCCCGUUCUUGGCUGGAUGUUCACUCCCGUAUGUAGUGUCUUCUACGAGUCGAGUUGUUUGGGAAUGCAGCUCAAAAUGGGUGGUAAAUUUCAUCUAAAGCUAAAUAUUGGCGAGAGACCGAUAGCGCACAAGUAGAGUGAUCGAAAGAUGAAAAGCACUUUGAAAAUAGAGUCAAACAGUACGUGAAAUUGUUGAAAGGGAAGCGCUUGAGACCAGAGUCAGCCUUUGGCAAACAACUGUCCUUCUGGGCGGUGCACUUGUCAUUGGUUGAGCCAGCAUCGGUUGGGACGGUGGGAUAAAGGCUUGGGAAAUGUGACUCCUUUAUGGAGUGUUAUAGUCCCAGGUGGCAU
Molecule: ribosomal RNA, 504 nt
Filed under: Tuber rapaeodorum
Lineage: Eukaryota; Fungi; Ascomycota; Pezizomycetes; Pezizales; Tuberaceae
Description: eukaryotic LSU rRNA
Rfam family: Eukaryotic large subunit ribosomal RNA
Source: RNAcentral